AGGGAGAAGACACCAAAACAAGGAAACCUAAUUUCAACUGUUUAGAUUCCUGAAAUGAAGCAUUGGAAAGAAGGAAGAAUUAAGUCCUAGAUGCAGUUGUACACAGUACUGGUGAAACAACAAAUCCUGUCAGGACAGACAAGCCUGGAAUUGGAGGGGAGCUACCUCUUUUUUCUGAUAGUGAAUAAUUCAGCCCAAUAUCAAUAAUGGCUCAUACAGUGUUCUCAUAGAAGAUAAUUGAGAUGCAAAGUACUUACAGCAUUGGUAAGUCACACGAUUGAUUACUUGUGAAAGAACUGGAAGAAAUAUUGAAUUUAUUGAUGUGAA
This 327-nucleotide long non-coding RNA is filed under the name Chrysolophus pictus (golden pheasant). RNAcentral's name for it is "lncRNA (ENSCPIG00010007095.1)". The record is from RNAcentral. Lineage: Eukaryota; Metazoa; Chordata; Aves; Galliformes; Phasianidae.